This 74-nucleotide transfer RNA is filed under the name Bacteroidales bacterium. RNAcentral describes it as "tRNA-Arg". It matches the Rfam family "tRNA". From Rfam's summary of the family: Transfer RNA (tRNA) molecules are approximately 80 nucleotides in length. Their secondary structure includes four short double-helical elements and three loops (D, anti-codon, and T loops). The record is from RNAcentral. Lineage: Bacteria; Pseudomonadati; Bacteroidota; Bacteroidia; Bacteroidales.
GGUUCGGUAGCUCAGGUGGAUAGAGCAACAGCCUUCUAAGCUGUGGGUCUUGGGUUCGAGUCCCAACCGAAUCA